Small nucleolar RNA from Sorex fumeus (smoky shrew), 125 nucleotides. RefSeq annotates it as small nucleolar RNA SNORA27. The transcript has a single exon. The record is from RefSeq and is a predicted model, not a curated record. Lineage: Eukaryota; Metazoa; Chordata; Mammalia; Eulipotyphla; Soricidae.
GAUUCUGUUCUUACUUUGCCAAUUGGACUUAUGUUUUAAUUGAUAAUUCAAGUGGGACAGGGGAAGUGUCCUUUUAAAACUCAAGCAAACUGUUUUUGUCUUGUAUCCUGCCAGAGGAAACAAUG